RNAcentral lists this ribosomal RNA (1141 nucleotides) under Latilactobacillus sakei. Its description in RNAcentral is "bacterial SSU rRNA". It matches the Rfam family "Bacterial small subunit ribosomal RNA", at positions 327 to 1461 of the family's 1533-position model. Lineage: Bacteria; Bacillati; Bacillota; Bacilli; Lactobacillales; Lactobacillaceae. The record is from RNAcentral.
CGGCCCAGAUUCUACGGGAGGCAGCAGUAGGGAUUCUUCCACAAUGGACGAAAGUCUGAUGGAGCAACGCCGCGUGAGUGAAGAAGGUUUCGGAUCGUAAAACUCUGUUGUUGGAGAAGAAUGUAUCUGAUAGUAACUGAUCAGGUAGUGACGGUAUCCAACCAGAAAGCCACGGCUAACUACGUGCCAGCAGCCGCGGUAAUACGUAGGUGGCAAGCGUUGUCCGGAUUUAUUGGGCGUAAAGCGAGCGCAGGCGGUUUCUUAAGUCUGAUGUGAAAGCCUUCGGCUCAACCGAAGAAGUGCAUCGGAAACUGGGAAACUUGAGUGCAGAAGAGGACAGUGGAACUCCAUGUGUAGCGGUGAAAUGCGUAGAUAUAUGGAAGAACACCAGUGGCGAAGGCGGCUGUCUGGUCUGUAACUGACGCUGAGGCUCGAAAGCAUGGGUAGCAAACAGGAUUAGAUACCCUGGUAGUCCAUGCCGUAAACGAUGAGUGCUAGGUGUUGGAGGGUUUCCGCCCUUCAGUGCCGCAGCUAACGCAUUAAGCACUCCGCCUGGGGAGUACGACCGCAAGGUUGAAACUCAAAGGAAUUGACGGGGGCCCGCACAAGCGGUGGAGCAUGUGGUUUAAUUCGAAGCAACGCGAAGAACCUUACCAGGUCUUGACAUCCUUUGACCACUCUAGAGAUAGAGCUUUCCCUUCGGGGACAAAGUGACAGGUGGUGCAUGGUUGUCGUCAGCUCGUGUCGUGAGAUGUUGGGUUAAGUCCCGCAACGAGCGCAACCCUUAUUACUAGUUGCCAGCAUUAAGUUGGGCACUCUAGUGAGACUGCCGGUGACAAACCGGAGGAAGGUGGGGACGACGUCAAAUCAUCAUGCCCCUUAUGACCUGGGCUACACACGUGCUACAAUGGAUGGUACAACGAGUUGCGAGACCGCGAGGUUUAGCUAAUCUCUUAAAACCAUUCUCAGUUCGGAUUGUAGGCUGCAACUCGCCUACAUGAAGCCGGAAUCGCUAGUAAUCGCGGAUCAGCAUGCCGCGGUGAAUACGUUCCCGGGCCUUGUACACACCGCCCGUCACACCAUGAGAGUUUGUAACACCCAAAGCCGGUGAGGUAACCCUUCGGGGAGCCAGCCGUCUAAG